UACAGAGGGUGCGAGCGUUGUCCGGAAUCACUGGGCGUAAAGAGCUCGUAGGCGGUCUGUCGCGUCGGCUGUGAAAUCCCGAGGCUCAACCUCGGGUCUGCAGUCGAUACGGGCAAACUAGAGUAUUGCAGGGGAGACUGGAAUUCCUGGUGUAGCGGUGAAAUGCGCAGAUAUCAGGAGGAACACCGGUGGCGAAGGCGGGUCUCUGGGCAAUAACUGACGCUGAGGAGCGAAAGCGUGGGGAGCGAACAGG
Molecule: ribosomal RNA, 253 nt
Filed under: uncultured bacterium
Lineage: Bacteria
Description: partial 16S ribosomal RNA
Rfam family: Bacterial small subunit ribosomal RNA
Source: RNAcentral